ACGAAAUUACGUCGAAACAUCGGUUUACGACGAAUUUACAAGGCCCACAUUUACGACGAAGUUACCAGGCACGCGUUUUUCCAUUUACGACGAAAUUACGUGGAAACAUCGGUUUACGACGAUUUUACAACGUUUAACCCUAAACACCGAGAAUGAAAUCCCUAAACCCCAAAGUCUCUUCUUCUCUACUACUUUAUGCUCUUUCUCCAACUUAAACUCUAAAAC
This 225-nucleotide long non-coding RNA is filed under the name Brassica napus (rape). RNAcentral describes it as "long non-coding RNA (BNAP_LNC012363)". Lineage: Eukaryota; Viridiplantae; Streptophyta; Magnoliopsida; Brassicales; Brassicaceae. The record is from RNAcentral.